Molecule: ribosomal RNA, 504 nt
Filed under: uncultured Enterococcus sp.
Lineage: Bacteria; Bacillati; Bacillota; Bacilli; Lactobacillales; Enterococcaceae
Description: bacterial SSU rRNA
Rfam family: Bacterial small subunit ribosomal RNA
Source: RNAcentral
ACGACGCUGGCGGCGUGCCUAAUACAUGCAAGUCGAACGCUUUUCUUUCACUGGAGCUUGCUCCACCGAAAGGAAAAGAGUGGCGAACGGGUGAGUAACACGUGGGUAACCUGCCCAUCAGAAGGGGAUAACACUUGGAAACAGGUGCUAAUACCGUAUAACACUAUUUUCCGCAUGGAAGAAAGUUGAAAGGCGCUUUUGCGUCACUGAUGGAUGGACCCGCGGUGCAUUAGCUAGUUGGUGAGGUAACGGCUCACCAAGGCAACGAUGCAUAGCCGACCUGAGAGGGUGAUCGGCCACACUGGGACUGAGACACGGCCCAGACUCCUACGGGAGGCAGCAGUAGGGAAUCUUCGGCAAUGGACGAAAGUCUGACCGAGCAACGCCGCGUGAGUGAAGAAGGUUUUCGGAUCGUAAAACUCUGUUGUUAGAGAAGAACAAGGAUGAGAGUAAAAUGUUCAUCCCUUGACGGUAUCUAACCAGAAAGCCACGGCUAACUACGUG